RNAcentral lists this ribosomal RNA (403 nucleotides) under Verrucomicrobiota bacterium. RNAcentral describes it as "Verrucomicrobia bacterium partial 16S ribosomal RNA". It matches the Rfam family "Bacterial small subunit ribosomal RNA", at positions 355 to 776 of the family's 1533-position model. The record is from RNAcentral. Lineage: Bacteria; Pseudomonadati; Verrucomicrobiota.
UGGGGAAUAUUGCACAAUGGGCGCAAGCCUGAUGCAGCAACGCCUCGUGAACGAUGAAGGUCUUCGGAUCGUAAAGUUCUGUUGCAGGGGAAGAUAAUGACGGUACCCUGUGAGGAAGCCCCGGCUAACUACGUGCCAGCAGCCGCGGUAAUACGUAGGGGGCUAGCGUUAUCCGGAAUCACUGGGCGUAAAGGGUUCGCAGGCGGAAAUGCAAGUCAGGUGUAAAAGGCAGUAGCUUAACUACUGUAAGCAUUUGAAACUGCAUAUCUUGAGAAGAGUAGAGGUAAGUGGAAUUUUUAGUGUAGCGGUGAAAUGCGUAGAUAUUAAAAAGAAUACCGGUGGCGAAGGCGACUUACUGAGCUCAUUCUGACGCUGAGGAACGAAAGCGUGGGUAGCAAACAGG